CAUGUUAUUUAAAUCCUGGGGUGCGAGAUCACGGAAGGCUUGUAUCGUGGACGCGCCGACAGAUUUGUUGUCAUUAAUUAAAAUACCUCAUGGGGGCGACAGAAAAUACAUUGUCUUGUUAAGAGUUGGUAGAAAUGACCGGCCUACAGUUUGGAGUGGUCCUUAAUUAAUAAGUGCUGUGCACUUGAUACUGGACUUAAAUAAUGAGUAGUGUUACUGACUGUGGUGGGUUAAAUUUACUGAUGUGCGUGUGGAGAUUGGCCAAACUCACUUAAUGCUCACUCGUACGGGGGGUGAUGUGCCCAUGAAUGGUGUACAAUUCAGUUUAAUUGAAUUUGUAGAGUGAAGUC
Sander lucioperca (pikeperch) is the source of this 350-nucleotide long non-coding RNA. RefSeq lists it as uncharacterized. Lineage: Eukaryota; Metazoa; Chordata; Actinopteri; Perciformes; Percidae. The transcript is spliced from 3 exons. The record is from RefSeq and is a predicted model, not a curated record.